Molecule: long non-coding RNA, 784 nt
Filed under: Chrysemys picta bellii (western painted turtle)
Lineage: Eukaryota; Metazoa; Chordata; Testudines; Emydidae
Description: lncRNA (ENSCPBG00000015080.1)
Source: RNAcentral
GAAGGCGAGAGACCCCGAGGAGGGGGGACCCCCGCGGGGCUGGAGGGCGGCGGGGGGCAGAGGAGCGGACCCCCCGGCUCGCAGCGCCUGCCCCGGUUUGCCCAGCCUCUGCCGCCAGGGAGGGCAGCUCCCCACCGGCCGCGUGUCCCGGGGCGCCCCGCUGCUUGGAGCCACCUGGGCUGGGCAUUGGCCUCCGGCAGGUCCCGCGCUUCCUUUCCGCCCGGGGCUGGAUAUGUGGAUGCUCACGCGAAGAUGGAUUUAGUCUACGGGCUGGUGUGGCUGCUGACGGUGCUGCUGGAGGGGAUCUCCGGCCAAGGGGUGUACGACUUGCCUGGAGAAGAAUCCCUUUCUCUGUCCUUUGUCAUCCUCCUGGUUGUUUUGUAUCCUCAUGGGAAAGAUUAGAGUCUCCCUGGGACAGGAAAAGAAAAGGAGAGGGAGGGAGAAAAGGAGGCCAAGUGACUACAUUGGAUGAACAGGAAUCACAUCUAUAAUGCGGGGAGAGACACUGUGAGAAGAAGAAUGUGAGUUGUGUGGGAGGGCACUGAUGGGACGUGCACUAGUAAAUUACUGGGCUACCCCAGACCUGUUGCUUGGGUUUGUGUAACAGUAUUGCCAAGGAAUCAGCAAAUCCAAAGGGUUUGGAGUGAUGCUUUGAAACAAACUCCAUGAACGAUGAGGCCACCUGGGCUGUGUGUGUUUUGAAGGGAGAUUUUACAGCUCCCCCCCCCCACACUUAUUGUUCAAGAAAGGGUUAGUUUCUUUUCAGAUCUCUUACUUUCUCAGU